ACGUUAAACCAACACAUAAAUGUGUAGAGACAAAGAGUUUAAUCAACUUAAUGAUCUGAGAGUUGUAUGGAGAUACAAUUGAUUGUAUCUACUCAAAUAGUUUAUUAAUGUUUGUUGAUUACACUCAAGAUCUUAAUAUACCAAAUGGGGUCCCAAACCACUAGUAAUCAAGCACGGAUUCUAUUAAUUUAAGCAUGAGGGUCAUAAAUUUAUUAUAA
RNAcentral lists this long non-coding RNA (218 nucleotides) under Olea europaea (common olive). RNAcentral's name for it is "long non-coding RNA (OEUR_LNC011969)". Lineage: Eukaryota; Viridiplantae; Streptophyta; Magnoliopsida; Lamiales; Oleaceae. The record is from RNAcentral.